AGCGCAAAUGAAAUACCACCACUUGGAACGUUGCUUCACUUAUCGAAUGAAGAGACCAAUGGUUUUGCGUAGUCUACGGGCUGCGCGCCGUCUUGGCUUGGGAUUAUGGGUGCUCUGCACUUUCACGAGUGGCUCUGCCAUUGCGUAUCUUCGGGUGCGCCUCGUGAGGACCCAGCCGUGGAGACCGUGUGCACCAAUCCGUUCGCCUUCGGGUGGGCGGAGAGUCUUGUUUCGAGACAUCUGCCAGAUGGGGAGUUUGGCUGGGGCGGCAUAUCUGUUACACAACAACGCAGGUGUCCUAAGGCAAGCUCAGUGGGAACAGAAAUCUCACGUGGAACACAAGCGUAUAGGCUUGCUUGAUUAACGAUUUUCAGUACGAAUCGAGACUGUGAAAGCAAGGCCAGCGAUCCUUUGCGAAAUAUAGGAAAUAUGAACAGAUCAUACCAGAGGUGUCAG
This 456-nucleotide ribosomal RNA is filed under the name Euplotes focardii. RNAcentral describes it as "partial Eukaryotic large subunit ribosomal RNA". It matches the Rfam family "Eukaryotic large subunit ribosomal RNA", at positions 2482 to 2809 of the family's 3401-position model. Lineage: Eukaryota; Ciliophora; Spirotrichea; Euplotida; Euplotidae. The record is from RNAcentral.